UUUUACUUUUCCAAUCUGUUCAACAGAGUUGACCACCGUUACUGCUCUGCCAGUAGCACCACCGCUCUUCCGCUCCAGCCAUGCCGCAUACAGUGAGCCUGGCAGAAGACAUUGUGGAGGUACAAUUAAUUAAAUCUUCACCUCUUUUUUACCUUUGGUUAUCAUUUGGUCAUUUCACUCAACACGCCUUUACUUUUCCAAUCUGUUCAACAGAAUUGACAGGUCCGACCUUUAUUUUGCCACCUCGACCACAGCACCCAGGAACAUUUUUCAACUCCAUCGAUGCCGGUAAAUACUCUUCAAUUGCCAAUUGCUUUGUUCAUUGUUUUGGACAAAAGUGCCAGUUAAGUGUAAUGUCAUACCAUUGCAGUAAUCAUUUCACUAAACAUGCCUUUACUUUUCCAAUCUGUUCAACAGAGUUGACUACCGUUACUGCUCUGCCAGUAGCACCACCGCUCUUCCGCUCCAGCCAUGCCGAGUUAACAAGUCAGACCACCACUCCUCCGUCAACUUCGCCCACAUCUCUGCCAGUACCACCCCAGCAAGGUAGAACUGCAUUUUC
Molecule: long non-coding RNA, 562 nt
Filed under: Gadus morhua (Atlantic cod)
Lineage: Eukaryota; Metazoa; Chordata; Actinopteri; Gadiformes; Gadidae
Description: lncRNA (ENSGMOG00000023574.1)
Source: RNAcentral